This 253-nucleotide ribosomal RNA is filed under the name uncultured bacterium. Its description in RNAcentral is "partial 16S ribosomal RNA". It matches the Rfam family "Bacterial small subunit ribosomal RNA", at positions 524 to 776 of the family's 1533-position model. The record is from RNAcentral.
UACGAAGGGGGCUAGCGUUGUCCGGAAUUAUUGGGCGUAAAGGGCUCGUAGGCGGUUUGUCGCGUCGGGAGUGAAAACCUCGGGCUUAACUCGGGGCUUGCUUUCGAUACGGGCAGACUGGAGGUAUGCAGGGGAGAACGGAAUUCCUGGUGUAGCGGUGAAAUGCGCAGAUAUCAGGAGGAACACCGGUGGCGAAGGCGGCACUCUGGGCCGGUACUGACGCUGAGGAGCGAAAGCGUGGGGAGCGAACAGG